This 391-nucleotide ribosomal RNA is filed under the name Cercozoa sp. RNAcentral describes it as "partial small subunit ribosomal RNA". It matches the Rfam family "Eukaryotic small subunit ribosomal RNA", at positions 582 to 975 of the family's 1831-position model. Lineage: Eukaryota; Cercozoa. The record is from RNAcentral.
AUUCCAGCUCCAAUAGCGUAUACUAAAGUUGUUGCAGUUAAAAAGCUCGUAGUUGAAUUUCUGGGUGUGAUAGGCGGUCCGUGUGCAUAACAUGUGUACCUCCCUCUCAUGCCCAUCCUCGAAGUGAAUAUGCAUUGCCUUAACUGUGUCGUGUAUAGGACCUUCGUCAUUUACUGUGAGCAAAAUAGAGUGUUCAAAGCAGGCUUAUGCCGUUGAAUAUAUUAGCAUGGAAUAAUAAGAUAUGACUUCUGUCUAUUUUGUUGGUUUGCACUCGGAAGUAAUGAUUGAUAGGGAUAGUUGGGGGUGCUAGUAUUGAGCGGCCAGAGGUGAAAUUCUUGGAUUCGCUCAAGACUAACUUAUGCGAAAGCAUUCACCAAGGAUGUCUUCAUCA